GGGCCUAUAGCUCAGCUGGUAGAGCAUCCGGCUCAUAACCGGAUGGUUGGGGGUUCAACUCCCUCUGGGCCCACCA
This 76-nucleotide transfer RNA is filed under the name Candidatus Cloacimonadota bacterium. RNAcentral's name for it is "tRNA-Ile". It matches the Rfam family "tRNA". From Rfam's summary of the family: Transfer RNA (tRNA) molecules are approximately 80 nucleotides in length. Lineage: Bacteria; Pseudomonadati; Candidatus Cloacimonadota. RNAcentral also lists the same sequence under 2 other names. The record is from RNAcentral.